Molecule: transfer RNA, 73 nt
Filed under: Halobacteriales archaeon QH_10_70_21
Lineage: Archaea; Methanobacteriati; Methanobacteriota; Halobacteria; Halobacteriales
Description: tRNA-Gln
Rfam family: tRNA
About the family: Transfer RNA (tRNA) molecules are approximately 80 nucleotides in length. Their secondary structure includes four short double-helical elements and three loops (D, anti-codon, and T loops). Further hydrogen bonds mediate the characteristic L-shaped molecular structure. tRNAs have two regions of fundamental functional importance: the anti-codon, which is responsible for specific mRNA codon recognition, and the 3' end, to which the tRNAs corresponding amino acid is attached (by aminoacyl-tRNA synthetases). tRNAs cope with the degeneracy of the genetic code in two manners: having more than one tRNA (with a specific anti-codon) for a particular amino acid; and 'wobble' base-pairing, i.e. permitting non-standard base-pairing at the 3rd anti-codon position.
Source: RNAcentral
AGCCCCGUGGUGUAGUGGCCAAUCAUAGCGGCCUUUGGAGCCGUUGACGGCAGUUCGAAUCUGCCCGGGGCUA